This 385-nucleotide ribosomal RNA is filed under the name Montfortula variegata. RNAcentral's name for it is "partial 12S ribosomal RNA". The record is from RNAcentral. Lineage: Eukaryota; Metazoa; Mollusca; Gastropoda; Lepetellida; Fissurellidae.
GCUUUAGGUCUAUUUAGGGGAACCUGUCUCUUAAACCGAUAAUCCACGUUUUAUCUGACCUUAUUUUGAUCUUAUAGUGAGUUUUUGCUAUGAAUUUAAUUUUUUUGAUAAACAGUUUGUAUACCGUCGUCUAUUAGGUUAUCUUGUAAGAGUUAAAAAAUUGCCGAGAUGGAUGUUAAAAAAUUAGAUAAUAUUAUUUAAUUUGGUUUUGUAUCCAAAAGGUCAGAUCGUGGUGCAGCUUAUGAUAAGGGGAGGAUGGGUUACAAUGGUUGAUUUAUAUAUGCGGAUUUUGUUUUGAAAUAAAUAAAAGAAGUUGGACUUGAUAGUAAUUGUGAUUAAAAUUUUAUAAUUAGAAAGUCAUAGUGAAUUGAGCUUUGAAGUGUGC